Molecule: ribosomal RNA, 500 nt
Filed under: uncultured bacterium
Lineage: Bacteria
Description: partial 16S ribosomal RNA
Rfam family: Bacterial small subunit ribosomal RNA
Source: RNAcentral
AUUGAACGCUGGCGGCAUGCCUUACACAUGCAAGUCGAACGGCAGCACGGGAGCAAUCCUGGUGGCGAGUGGCGAACGGGUGAGUAAAGUAUCGGAACGUGCCCAGUCGUGGGGGAUAACGUAGCGAAAGUUACGCUAAUACCGCAUACGAUCCAUGGAUGAAGGCGGGGGAUCGCAAGACCUCGCGCGAUUGGAGCGGCCGAUAUCAGAUUAGGUAGUUGGUAGGGUAAAGGCGCACCAAGCCGACGAUCUGUAGCUGGUCUGAGAGGACGACCAGCCACACUGGGACUGAGACACGGCCCAGACUCCUACGGGAGGCAGCAGUGGGGAAUUUUGGACAAUGGGCGAAAGCCUGAUCCAGCCAUGCCGCGUGCAGGAUGAAGGCCUUCGGGUUGUAAACUGCUUUUGUACGGAACGAAAAGGUUUGGCCUAAUAAGCUGAGCUCAUGACGGUACCGUAAGAAUAAGCACCGGCUAACUACGUGCCAGCAGCCGCCGUAA